RNAcentral lists this ribosomal RNA (441 nucleotides) under uncultured bacterium. RNAcentral's name for it is "bacterial SSU rRNA". It matches the Rfam family "Bacterial small subunit ribosomal RNA", at positions 338 to 795 of the family's 1533-position model. The record is from RNAcentral.
CCUACGGGGGGCUGCAGUGAGGAAUUUUCGUCAAUGGGGGCAACCCUGAACGAGCAACGCCGCGUGCAGGAUGACGCUUUUCGGAGUGUAAACUGCUUUUCUCGGGGAAGAGAACGGACGGUACCCGAGGAAUCAGCCCCGGCUAACUACGUGCCAGCAGCCGCGGUAAUACGUAGGGGGCGAGCGUUGUCCGGAGUUACUGGGCGUAAAGCGCACGUAGGCGGUCCGGUAAGUUUGGAGUGACAAUUCUCGGCUUAACUGAGAAGGGUCUUCGAAGACUGCCGGACUUGAGGGCUCACGAGGGACACGGAAUUCCGGGUGGAGUGGUGAAAUGCGUAGAGAUCCGGAGGAACACCAAAGGCGAAGGCAGUGUCCUGGGGAGUACCUGACGCUCAGGUGCGAAAGCCAGGGGAGCGAACGGGAUUAGAUACCCCUGUAGUC